Molecule: long non-coding RNA, 1231 nt
Organism: Grus americana (Whooping crane)
Lineage: Eukaryota; Metazoa; Chordata; Aves; Gruiformes; Gruidae
Exons: 3
Source: RefSeq, a predicted model, not a curated record
ACCUUCUGUAGAUGGGAAUAUCAUAUUUAACUAGCCUGUAUCAAAAACGGUGAUGCAACUUGCUGUAUAGGCAAAAGAAAAAAAAUGAACAGUUUCUGCAUUCACCAAAUGAAAUGCUGCCAUGUCACUAGUAUUCCUGACAAGCAGAGUAUAAUAAGCAACAGAUUCACUGGGAAAAUACUUCCUAUCUGUUAGAAAAAGUUGACGGUUUUCAAAUAGAUGAUGCACGAUUUAGGUUUGUUGGUCCUUUUCAAGGCACUGAGAUAUCAAGGCUCGGAUUUUCAGAGGCCCUGAUUUCAGCAAGAGCUGCGCUUCUGAAGAUGAAGCCACAGACCUUUACAACAGAUUAAUACAAGGGAAAAACCCAAAUCUGCAGGAUGGGGGAGUCAGAUCUUUCUGUGAAAAAAAUGAAGAGGCCUUGUGUCAUUUGCUCCUCCACUCCAUUGGUCACAAAGCCUAUUCUGGAUAAAGAGAUGGAGAUAUUGCUGACUUUUCUUUUUAACAGAAGUAGGAGAUGGGUAGAAACCUGAGCAUCAAAAGGCACUUUUUCUUUUGGGAGAAUGUCAAGUGCUUGGGGGAGAAGCAGACAGUCAGAAACAUCAAAACCUGAUGUGAUUCUCCUGAAAGGCACUCUGAUGCACUGGAAAUGCCACAUCUCCUCUCCUGGGACCCAGUGCAAUUAUCUCGGGAAAACAGAAUAAUUUCCAAACUAUUGACUUGCCAGUAGGGCUAAGUCAAUGUAGCCUGAUGGUUUUCAGCAAAAGGCUCCCAGUAGUCUUUAAAAAUCUGACAAGUCAUAGAGCUGUUUGUUGCUUCUUGUGAGCCAGGAGGGUGUGGGACAUCAGCCGUCGUGGAAGAAAGGAUUGCAGGUGAUGUGAAAGUGAAUGGAAAUAGACUCUCCUUCUCUUGCAGGACUUCUCUACUGAGGUGUGACAGUUAAUGGCAAAACCAUUUACUGCCAUCAAGAGGCUGCUGUGAGAGAAGAAUAUGAAAUAUGCUGUUCCUUAUCCAGGAAAUAUACAAUGUUUCCGAAUGACUGAUUUAUUAUUUUCACCCUGUCCGGCAAUACAGAAGGUGCAUCAGGGAUCUGCCUUUCUCCGCUCUGAAUAACUUAAGUCAGGCUGCAACAUGUGAAAUAAUUGAGCUGACCAGAAUUUACAGCUCUAGGUGGACUUCUGUCUUUCUGUUGAGUUUGUGAGUCAUGACAAUAAGAGUUACCACAUGAGCAUGA